CUACGGGUCGCAGCAGUGGGGAAUAUUGGACAAUGGGGGAAACCCUGAUCCAGCAAUGCCGCGUGUGUGAAGAAGGCCUGCGGGUUGUAAAGCACUUUCGGUUGGGAGGACUGCUUCUAGCACUAAUAUUGUUGGAAGUUGACGUUACCUUCAGAAGAAGCACCGGCUAACUCCGUGCCAGCAGCCGCGGUAAUUCGGAGGGUGCAAGCGUUAAUCGGAAUUACUGGGCGUAAAGCGCGCGUAGGCGGCUAGAUCAGUCGGGUGUGAACGCCCCGGGCUUAACCUGGGAACUGCAUCCGAUACUGUCUAGCUUGAGUACAGGAGAGGAGAGUGGAAUUCCACAUGUAGCGGUGAAAUGCGUAGAUAUGUGGAGGAACACCAAUGGCGAAGGCAGCUCUCUGGCCUGAUACUGACGCUGAGGUGCGAAAGCGUGGGGAGCAAACAGGAUUAGAUACCCGCGUAGUC
This 465-nucleotide ribosomal RNA is filed under the name uncultured bacterium. RNAcentral describes it as "partial 16S ribosomal RNA". It matches the Rfam family "Bacterial small subunit ribosomal RNA", at positions 339 to 795 of the family's 1533-position model. The record is from RNAcentral.